Molecule: long non-coding RNA, 4406 nt
Filed under: Homo sapiens (human)
Lineage: Eukaryota; Metazoa; Chordata; Mammalia; Primates; Hominidae
Description: HSALNT0199813
Source: RNAcentral
UAUAGAACAAAUAAGUUCGAGAAAAUGUUUGUCCUUAGCAUGUCAGUUAAUUAAAAUAAAACACAGAAACUUCAUACAGUUCAGCAAAGGACAUCUUGAUUUGUGCUUUGGAGAAUCUAUUGAGUUUUUUUGGUUACUGAGUAAUAGUUUAGUUAGAUGUGUUGCUAUAGCUAUACAUUCUUCCAUCUUAUGUUUUCAAAAUAUUAAGUGUCCUCAUUUAUUUUUUGUGUAAUUGAGAAUAAACUGAAAUCAAGUAAUACACAUUCUCUCAUAAAAAUAAAUAUACUCGGUCAUUGAAUUGUAAAGUGUGGAUCCCAGGAUGAUAUCAUCAUCACCUGGAAACUUGUUAGAAAUACACAUUCUUGUCCCCUGACCAAAAUCUAUUGAAUGAGAAACUCUGAGGGUGAAGCCCAGCAUUUUAAAAUCUAAAAAUCCAUGUUUUAACCCAUUUGGGGAUACUAAAUAAACUGCUGUAGUCCUUCAAUAAGCCCAUCACACAUUUUCACCAUGUCAUCUAUAGGCACUUUUUCUACGGUGUUAACAUCAUCUUCAUCAUCACUAUUAUCAUAAUCACCUUGAUUAAGAACCAUUUUGGCUAUUUCCCCAUGGAUCAAUGAAUGAAUAAUUAGAGCCGCAUUAUUGCUGGUAAAAACUUACAUGACAUCUGUUUCUUCCAUCUUACUGCCAGACUCUGAAGGUGUAUUUUUUUGUAUAUGUAUGGAGGUCAGACAUUAUUUUUUUUCUCAUGUGACAUAUAGAAACCUUCAAAGUCACCACUUUGUUCAUCACCAUCACUGAACAUAGUUAUAGCCCAGAGGUUGUGCCAGGCAUGCACAACUGUGUAUUUGUCACUGUAUUCCAAACAUGGGCAUUCUUCGUGCUAAACUCCUUUUGAAAACUUUCCACACUCAUGCCUCUGUUCACUGUUGCUAGCAUGCUGAUCAAGAAACUUUUUAUAUUUAUUCUUUAUUGAUCCAAGAACACCCUAGUCACAUGGAUGAAUUAAUGAAGUCACAAUUAGGGUAAAAUACAUGACCUAAACAUUUUUAAUGAGAAUUUCUGCUGGAUGAUGAGCAGAAUCCUUAUCAAGCAGUGCCAAAAUCUUGCAGUCGUUAAUCAUUCAGUCUAGAUUCCCUACAGCAAGCAAGAGCCACUAGUACCAAAUGUUUGUGAAACCAAUCAGAAAAGAUAUCCCUAAUUCUCUAUGCCUUUUUGUUAGCAUAAUAAUUUACUGGAAAGAAAUUUACUCCUUGAAAACAACAAGGAUAUAAGCUUUUGUCUAUCAUAGCAAGGUUUUCUUUAUGCAUGCGUGCUGCAUUAGCACAUCCCAGAACAGUUAUUCUGUCCUUAGCAUCCUUAAUUCCUAUUGAAGCUGUCUCACCAGCUGUAGUCAGUGUUUUUCUGGUGCAAUAAUGCCGAAACAGUGAUGUUUCAUCAGCAUUACAGACCUGUCCUGGUAUCAGAUUUUCAUCAGUGAUGACCUUAGUAACCUCAUCAGUGAAUAUCUCCCUUGCUUCAUGAUCAGGAAAUGGUACAAAUCUUCAAAACCUUAACGCUGUGCUUUUUCUUAAAUUUAUGCAACUAGCCUGUUGAAUGUUCACAGUUCCCUUCAAUUUUCAGUUCAUCGUGAUAGAUCUUUGCAAGUUUCAUGUUCAGCAUACCAUUAAGUGGCAUGUAUUCACUGUGACACUGAUGGUUCCAUUCUUUCAAUACAUAUUCAAGGACUUCAUAUUUCACUCCAUGCAUUGCUUUUCUAUUUUUCAUUAACUUCUGUUCAUCACUUUCAGCAUAGAACUUCCAACAAUGUAUCCUUCUCUUUCUUCAGGUCAUACAUGGUGGUCACUCCAACACUAUACUCUUCUAUAAGACAUUUUCCACUUAUACCACCAUCCAGUUUCUUCAACAGCUUGACUUUCUGUGCUAUAGAUAAGUAUAAAUGCUUCCUCUUUUCUUUACUACUGUUACUCAUAAGGGUAUCUGCAGAUCUUUCUACAUUUUCCACAAUACCUUUAUACCACAGAGAAGAGAAUAAGCAAAACAAAACAACAUAAUGAGUAAGGCAUGUAGGUCUUGGCCUCAUGUAGGGCAUCACAGGCAACCCGCCAUUGGUGUGUCUUGCCUGACAUGUGCCAUUUUAUUACCCUUUGUGGAUGUGCCUGCAUGACGAAGUCUGGGGCAUGUGUGGAAAAGAUACUUCACAGCUGAAGGGGGCUGGGAGGGUCUCUUUGGAGACAUUAAGUAAACUGUGUGUUGUGUAUCUGCAUUUUGACUGUGAUCCAUCAUAUGAGGUCAGGUGUGGAAUUUUCAACUUGUGACUUCGUGUCAGCACUCAAAAAGUUUUGGAUUUGGGGGAAUUUCAGUUUUGGAUUUUCAGAUUAGGGAUGGUUAAGAUGUAAUUUCAUUAUGAGUAAAUAGAUUAAAUACUCCAACCAAAAGGCAGAGAUUGUCAGGCUGGAUUUUGAAAAGCAAGAUCCAACUAUCUUCUGUCUACAAGAGACAAGCUUUUGCUUUUCCCUUUUUUUUUUUUUUUUUUUUUUUUUUUUUUUUUUUUUUUUUUUUUUUGAGUUGGAGUCUCACUCUGUCAGCCAGGCUGGAGUACAGUGUUGGGAUCUUGGCUCCAAGCAACCUCCACCUCCUGGAUUCAAGUGAUUCUCCUGCCUUAUCCUCCUAAGUAGCUGGGAUUACAGGUGCCCACCACCAUACUGGCUCAUUUUUGUAUUAUUGAUAGAGGCAGGGUUUCACCAUGUUGGCCAGGCUGGUCUUGAGCUCCUGACCUCAGGUGAUCCACUCACCUUGGCCUCCCAAAGUGCUGGGAUUAUAGGCAUGAGCCACCACAGGUUGCCAUGAGACAGACUUUAGAUUCAAAAAUUUAGUCUGAAAGUUAAAAGGAUGGAAAAUGAUAUAUCAUACAAACAGUAACCAUUAAAGACCUGCAGUGAAUACACUAAUAUUAGACAAAAUACACUUUGAGACAAAAAUAAAUAAAAUACUUGAGACAAAGAGUACAUUUCAUAAUGAUAAGGGGGUUAAUUCAACAGGAAAAUAGAAAAGUUAUAUAUAUACCUCAGAUUUCCCCAAGUACAUGGAGCAAUAAAUCACAGAACUAAAGAGAGAUAUAGACAAUAAUAAUUGGAGACUUCAACACCCCAAUCUCGAUAAUUGAUGAACAACUAGAUACAAAAUUAGCAAGGAUAUGUUUUGUAUCACUUAACACUUACACAACACGAUCAGCAGACUACUGAUCCACCAACUCUAUCCACCAAACAAAAGCAGAAUAGACAUUCCUCACAAGCACACACAGACUGUCCUCCAAAAUAGACCAUAUUCUAGGCCAUAAAACACAUCUGAAUAGAUUUAAAAGGAAUAAAAUCACAUAAAGUACGUUCUUUGACUGUAACAGAUAAAUGAGAAACCACCAACAGAAGGUAAAAUCCUUUUGUGGUGAUGGAAACAUUCUAAGACUAGAUUGUGGUGCAAGUGAGCAACUCAUUUACUAAAAAUAAUCAUUGAAUUAUAUACUUAAACUAUAAAUUUUAUAUGUAAAUUAUACCUCAAAGCUGUUAAGAAAUGAAUGAAAGGAGAAGCACAUUCACUAUAGCAACAAAACUUUAAGAAUACCUUUACUAAGGAAUAUUUGUGACCUAUAGGAAUAAAAAGUGAUUAAGCUUUGAAAGAAUUAAAAAGAGAUAAAUAAUAGACAAACUAUGUUUCCAUAUAUCAAAAAUAAUACUUCCAAAUGUCAGUUACCUCCAAAUUAUAGAUUUGACACAAUUUUAGUAAAAAUCAUAAUGAAAGUUUGAUUUUCUGACUUAAAAUCAUUCUAAAGUUUAUCUGGAAGAUUAAAAACACACAAAAAUUCACAGAAUAUUUUGAAAGGAAGAGAAAUGAAUUACACAAGCUAUGGUAGACACUGAACCAUAUUUUAAAGCUACACUGUACUAGCUAAAAUAUAAUAUGGAUAUAGGAGUAGAAGAUUAAACAAAAUAAGAAAUAAAACAUUUUAUUUGUUUUUAGUAUGUAUUAAAAAUACAUUGCCAAACAUUUUGAAAUGGAUAAUUCAAUAAUUUUUAUUGAUAUAAAGAGUUGCAUUUGAUCUAGCAGUUAUACUUCUGGGAAUUUUUUUAAUGGAAAUAAUCCUGAAACUGGGUGAGGCAAAUAUGAAUUCCAGUUUCAUUCGUAAAUGUACAAAAUUGGAAACAACCUAAACACCUAGGUAGGAGAUUAGUCAAAAUAAUCAUAAUUGUAGUUGUUUAACUUACAACUCAGAAGUAGGCAUCUUAUGCAGUUAUUAAAGUAAUUUUAAGUAGCAUGUGAAUAUAAGAAAUAAUGCUUAUAAAUUUUAUGUUAAAUGACAUAGGACGUAAAGGUAUAUAAAUAGUGUGAAUAUAAGUAUAUAAGCAAAACAA